Molecule: ribosomal RNA, 572 nt
Filed under: uncultured Fibrobacter sp.
Lineage: Bacteria; Pseudomonadati; Fibrobacterota; Fibrobacteria; Fibrobacterales; Fibrobacteraceae
Description: bacterial SSU rRNA
Rfam family: Bacterial small subunit ribosomal RNA
Source: RNAcentral
UUAAUGUCCAGGAGAGUGGCUAGCUGCAUGGCUGGUUGACUAGAGAUUUAUCGGUAUGGGAUGAGCUUGCGUCCGAUUAGCUAGUUGGCGGGGCAACGGCCCACCAAGGCGACGAUCGGUAGCCGGCCUGAGAGGGUGAUCGGCCACAUUGGGACUGAGAUACGGCCCAGACUCCUACGGGAGGCAGCAGUAGGGAAUAUUGCACAAUGGGGGAAACCCUGAUGCAGAAACGCCACGUGUGGGAAGAAGCAUUUCGGUGUGUAAACCACUGUCAUGAGGGAAUAAGGCCCGCCUCCGGGCGGGAUUGAAUGUACCUUGAGAGGAAGCACCGGCAAACUUCGUGCCAGCAGCCGCGGUAAUACGAGGGGUGCAAGCGUUGUUCGGAAUUACUGGGCGUAAAGGGAGCGUAGGCGGAGAUUCAAGCGGAUUGUACAAUCCCGGGGCCCAACCCCGGCUCUGCAGUCCGAACUGGAUCUCUUGUAUAGUUCAGGGGNAGGCGGAAUUCCUGGUGUAGCGGUGGAAUGCGUAGAGAUCAGGAAGAACACCGAUGGCGAAGGCAGCCUGCUGGGGAC